Molecule: ribosomal RNA, 1514 nt
Filed under: uncultured bacterium
Lineage: Bacteria
Description: bacterial SSU rRNA
Rfam family: Bacterial small subunit ribosomal RNA
Source: RNAcentral
AGAGUUUGAUCAUGGCUCAGGAUAAACGCUGGCGGCGCACAUAAGACAUGCAAGUCGAACGGACUUAACCAUUAGUUUACUAUUGGAGCGGUUAGUGGCGGACUGGUGAGUAACACGUAGGCAACCUGCCUAUCAGAGGGGAACAACAGUUAGAAAUGACUGCUAAUACCGCAUAUGCCUAAGUACCACAUGGUACAAUAGGGAAAGGAGCAAUCCGCUGAUAGAUGGGCUUGCGUCUGAUUAGAUAGUUGGUGGGGUAACGGCCUACCAAGUCGACGAUCAGUAGCCGGACUGAGAGGUUGAACGGCCACAUUGGGACUGAGAUACGGCCCAGACUCCUACAGGAGGCAGCAGUCGGGAAUAUUGCGCAAUGGAGGAAACUCUGACGCAGUGACGCCGCGUGCAGGAAGAAGGUUUUCGGAUUGUAAACUGCUUUAGACAGGGAAGAAACAAGACAGUACCUGUAGAAUAAGCUCCGGCUAACUACGUGCCAGCAGCCGCGGUAAUACGUAGGGAGCGAGCGUUAUCCGGAUUUAUUGGGUGUAAAGGGUGCGUAGACGGGAAAAUAAGUUAGUUGUGAAAUCCCUCGGCUUAACUGAGGAACUGCAACUAAAACUGUUUUUCUUGAGUACUGGAGAGGAAAGUGGAAUUCCUAGUGUAGCGGUGAAAUGCGUAGAUAUUAGGAGGAACACCAGUGGCGAAGGCGACUUUCUGGACAGAAACUGACGUUGAGGCACGAAAGUGUGGGGAGCAAACAGGAUUAGAUACCCUGGUAGUCCACACUGUAAACGAUGGAUACUAGGUGUAGGGGAUAAUAAAUCUUCUGUGCCGCCGCUAACGCAAUAAGUAUCCCACCUGGGGAGUACGGCCGCAAGGUUGAAACUCAAAGGAAUUGACGGGGGCCCGCACAAGCAGUGGAGUAUGUGGUUUAAUUCGACGCAACGCGAAGAACCUUACCAGGGCUUGACAUAUAAGUGAAUAAUUAAGAGAUUAGUUAGUUCUUCGGAACACUUAUACAGGUGGUGCAUGGUUGUCGUCAGCUCGUGUCGUGAGAUGUUGGGUUAAGUCCCGCAACGAGCGCAACCCCUGUUUUCAGUUGCCAGCACGUAAAGGUGGGAACUCUGGAAAGACUGCCGGUGAUAAAUCGGAGGAAGGUGGGGACGACGUCAAAUCAUCAUGCCCUUUAUGUCCUGGGCUACACACGUACUACAAUGGCUAUAACAAAGAGAAGCGAAACAGCGAUGUGGAGCAAAACUCAAAAAAGUAGUCUCAGUUCGGAUUGUAGGCUGAAAUUCGCCUACAUGAAGCUGGAAUUGCUAGUAAUGGCAGGUCAGCAUACUGCCGUGAAUACGUUCCCGGGCCUUGUACACACCGCCCGUCACACCAUGAGAGUUGGGAAUACCCGAAGCCUGUGAGCUAACUGUAAAGAGGCAGCAGUCGAAGGUAGAAUCAAUGAUUGGGGUGAAGUCGUAACAAGGUAGCCGUAUCGGAAGGUGCGGCUGGAUCACCUCCUU